GUUUACCGCUACAUAUUUAGUUGAGGGACGGUACAGUUCAUAGUUCAAUGAGUCGAGCGGCAGGUGCUCACAGAUCUCCGCUAUUUAAUGUAUCAAUUAUUGACGAAAGAACCUCUUUUCACGACAAGCGGCCAACGAGUUCUCACGGCGUUAACAAGGCAUGAGUGGCGGGACCAAAGGUGGAAGCAACAACAAUAAACGCCCGUUCCAAAGAA
Molecule: long non-coding RNA, 215 nt
Organism: Eleginops maclovinus (Patagonian blennie)
Lineage: Eukaryota; Metazoa; Chordata; Actinopteri; Perciformes; Eleginopidae
Exons: 2
Source: RefSeq, a predicted model, not a curated record